CUUGUCUUUUUAUUGACGUCAUUUAUACUUCAUUGUUAUGUCCUGUCUAACAACUUUGUCACCUCUUUAUUUAAUUUAGAAGCUAGUCUUUUUAUUGACUCUGUUUAUACUUCAUUGUUAUAUCCUGUCUCACCACUUUGUCACCUCUUUAUUUACUGAACUUUUGUACAAAAGGUUGUGUUAUUUUCUUAUUUGACAUUUUCAGCCCAUGCUGUGCUUCUGCUGAAGAAACAAUACUAAUGUCGCAUGGAACUAUUAUUGGUCAACAAAUAGUCCACCUUUCAUUGAGCAGAAGCUCAACAACUGAUGAAUUCAUGAGAAUCAAAGAUUUAUGCAUCUACGGUUGUGCGGAGAUAGAGAACCCAUUGAUGCCAAUCUCAUUCUAGAACUGGGAGACUUCGAUCAAUGAUUUCUAAUUCCAAUCUGAAGCUUCUGACCCCCAUCAAUGCUUCCACAGCCAAUGUCUGUUGCAGCAGGAUUUACCUCCACCUGUUAUUGGUUUUUGACCUGUAUCGAUGUAGAAAAGCAAUGCAGAGUGUCUUCUUCUUCUUAGCUGCUGAGACAUGUAGACACCAAGACCUCUUCUGAGCAACUUUUAGGCCUCAAUACUGGUGAACACCAACGACAUUGACAGGAUGUGCCUUUUUUGCUUCUUCUGAAGAAUCUCUGUUUUUUAUUGUUUCUUUUUGCUAAUUUCAAGCAAAUAUUGUCUAUGUAUACAGUUGUGGCAUCCUAUUUCAGUUCUCAUUAUACUAUUGCAGUCUUUAUUCUGAAUGUUCAA
This is a long non-coding RNA of Macadamia integrifolia, 781 nucleotides long. RefSeq lists it as uncharacterized. The transcript has 2 exons. The record is from RefSeq and is a predicted model, not a curated record. NCBI's taxonomy places the organism in Eukaryota, Viridiplantae, Streptophyta, Magnoliopsida, Proteales, Proteaceae.